This 197-nucleotide ribosomal RNA is filed under the name uncultured bacterium. RNAcentral describes it as "partial 16S ribosomal RNA". It matches the Rfam family "Bacterial small subunit ribosomal RNA", at positions 326 to 539 of the family's 1533-position model. The record is from RNAcentral.
ACGCUCGACACCUACGGGAAGCAGCAGUGGGGAAUAUUGCACAAUGGGGGAAACCCUGAUGCAGCGACGCCGCGUGAGCGAAGAAGUAUUUCGGUAUGUAAAGCUCUAUCAGCAGGGAANAAAAUGACGGUACCUGACUAAGAGCCCCGGCUAACUACGUGCCAACAGCCGCGGUAAUCUGAGCGGGCUGGCAAGGC